Vicia villosa (hairy vetch) is the source of this 2634-nucleotide long non-coding RNA. RefSeq lists it as uncharacterized. The transcript is spliced from 5 exons. The record is from RefSeq and is a predicted model, not a curated record. Lineage: Eukaryota; Viridiplantae; Streptophyta; Magnoliopsida; Fabales; Fabaceae.
UGUAACAGUUUGAGUUCCACAUCGGAGACACAUUUGUAUUGAAAGUAAAAGUAGUUUAUAAAUAUAAGACUUUAACGUGGAUUCAAACAAAGCAGUCAUGCAUUGCAUUGCUAUGUGGGACAUCUUAUGCUUGCAAUUAAAUAGUUUAAAUAUUCUCAUUUUAGCUGACUGCAAGCUUUACGUGGGGCUAUGCAGAACUAACAAUUAGUUCAAACAUUUAAACUCUAUCAAUUUUUAAGUGGUUCAUUGGUACGCUCAAAUUUUCCGAAUGCAAGGAGAAUUAUUGCGAACCGGUUCGUAAAAGAACCGUGAACCGGUACGUGCGAAUUAAUUCGCGGUUCGCAUGGGGUACAAGCGAAUUAUGUAACUAUGGUAGAAGGAGAUCGAGAGAAAAGAGGAGAGAGCUGAGAUUUGAAGCUUACCAAAAACCGAACAUCUCUUCUCUAUCGGGACUUUGUGAACAACCUUCGUGAAGAGUCAAAAAAACGUGCCCAGCGGGUGGUUCCAACCAAGCAUACCUUAGAUAGUUUCAAAGGUCACCUUCAUGUUGGCCUAGAACACGCUCGCGCGCUUUCUUUGAUACUUGAAGUUACAAGGUUUCCGAAAAAGACAUCUUCUUCUAAAGUUUUUGCUGAGACGAAGACUGAAAAAGUCGAGAAGCCCACUGUGACGAAUAUACAGAAAAACUGCAAAGGGGACUAAGAGGCCACAGAAAACUACUGAGGCUCCUGCUCCGUCUUCUUCGAAGGUUACCAAAAUCAAGGUGAAGAAGACUCCUCCUCCGGAAGUCAUUCACAUUGACUCCCUUUCACUACAAGUGCUCGAACCAACGGAGAGCAGGAAUUCAAACCUUGAAGUAAAAGGUCCAAAGGAUUGUUGAUGUGGUCAAGCGGCAAGCAAAAAUUAAUAGGUUUACUAUUACUGGGUGAUAUAGGUUAUAUCGUAUCGUAGUCCACAGAGAUUGGUAGAGAAAAAAUGUCGUUCAACUAUCUCGUAUUAUAAGUUUGGUUUUGGGUUACGAAAAGUAAAAUGAGGGGAAAGUAAAUAAAGCAAAUAAACAAUCUAUUGUAGCUUAAGAGAAUUCAUUCUGGAAUCGUAUUUCUAUUUAACUCGUCAAAUACUUAAAUCUGAAGAUCUUAUCGUAACACACUCACAAUACGCAUCAAAAUCACUAAGCAUCGCUCGAGAUAUACCACAUCAGUGCUCAUUUCUGCAACACUGACGAGAGUUCAAUUAUAUAGCUCUUUCGGCGAUUUCCCAACCGAUCGAACAACACAGAGGAAUUAAACUCCGAUACCCAUUAUGAUUAUUAGCCCUAAAUCUAUGUCUAGAGUUUAGAAAUUAAUAGAUAUCAUCCUUAAUCAAGAUCUAUGAUGUCUAUUUCUACAACAACAAAAAUCCAAUGUAUAUACAAUCCCGAGAUCAACAAAUGUACAUACAAGAGAGGAAAAAUAUACAUACAAACUCCACCAUUGGAAUGGGUCACACGGAAGAAGAAGAGCAAAUGGAAAUUUAUCAUGUUAUCGGCACAACCAGAGACCACCCGAGCUCUAUCGACAUGAUGAGCCACCCAACAGUGUUGCUUGAACCUCUAAACUAAAAAGAAUGGAUCAGAGCUCAACUUUGUCAAAUAAGAGAUGAUAAAAAACCUAAAAAAUAUAUUCUAAACUAUUUAUAGAAAAAUUGAAAUCGCAGAGCGCGCGAUGCACCCUCUCACUUAUGUACCAAACCGCCCUAGAGCGCGCGAUGCGCCCUUAGGGCGCGUGACGUGCCCUCGAGACUGCCAAAAUUUAUUCCUUUACUCCUAGCCCGCGCGAUGCACCCUCUGUGUGUGUGAUGCUCCCUAUACUAGAACUUUAUUCCUUCCAAAAACACGCGUUUGAAGUCGUGUCUUCGACACUUUAUUGCUCAUGCUCCAAAUAUGCAACAAUACCUACAAAAAUACAUUAAAACUAUCAAACGGUACAUAUUUAUAUGAAAACGUAACAAAAUACAAAGUAUACAAAAUUACACGAAAAUGGGGAAUUAUUCAAACGGUGUUAACAAAAAGUAUCGAUAAGUGCCACUAUUUACAUACACAAAAUAACUAUAUUUUGGCACUUAUCAAGGAUGCAACAGAAGUUUUGAAGGAACCUCUUGUCGAACAACCUUCAACCAACCUCAUCCCCAAAGAGAUCUGAUCAAGGGUCCAUGUCUGAGAUCAACAAACUUGUCGAAGACCCUCAACCCCAAGACACUGAAAAUAAAAUUGUUGAUAACUCUUCUGAGGAAGGUUCUCUGAAGGCUGACGAACCGAAGAAUGAUGAACCUGUUCACGAAGAAGAGGGUGAAGAGGAAGAAGGGGACGACACCAGCCUUUUGAAUUACCAUGAGGACAUCACAAUGGAUGACCUCGAAUAUGAACAACAAGGUGAUGAAAAUGAAGGGAAGAAAGACUCUGCUCCAUAACCAACGUCAGAUCCCGUCAAAACUGAUAAUGCCCCUGAGGGUAAAUCAACUUCGAGUGGCACCUUUUCCAAAUUGUCUCCCACGGAAUUGGAGAACCUAAAUCAAAAUAUUCCUCUUAAAUAUUUGAAGGUGAUCAUCAGCGAUAGGGAGAGUUCUUCUAAAAAAAAGUGCUAGUAUUUCGACUGU